GGGAAGGAGCCUCAAGUGUGUGGCGGGGGCUCUAAGUCCUGGCUAAAGGGCCCCUCCGAACACCCUCCCCGCUAGAGACAGAGGGUCUGAGCUGGCACAAGGCGUCCAACGCAGACUCUGCCCUUGGACCUUCAUGGUCCCUGCCUGGCGUUUGGAAUGACACCAACCAAUACACCCAUCCAACGGGCGAGAACCCCCUUCUGGCCGCUCUGUAGCUAGACCAGCUUAGCUCCCCCCAGCCCAGCGCUGGGUGUGGGCUGCCACAGGAGCCCCAGGUCUCUGGUCUGACGGCUACCAAAUGUUAUCUUGACUAGAGCCGCUGGGAGUUCCAGGCAGGCUCUCGGCGACUUACCCUACACUUCCCAAGACCAUGUGAGUCACCUUACGGGAGCUUCUCUUGGAAUGACCGUUCUUUAAAGCUGGGGAGUUGGUUAAGUGAAAGAAGCAAUUUCUCUUCCCUCUAAAAUCUUGGAGAUUUAUCGAAAUGAGUGAAUUCCACGUGUUUAUGUCCUGACUGUAGCUGGUUCUUCGGUGUAUCUGUCUCGCUAUUGCCUCCUUCCCCGGGGCCCCACCAUCACUUACUCCCUCUUCUGCAAGGCGUUUGCCUCGUGGACUAAGACAUUUUAGAGCUUCUUAUAACAAUGGAUCAAAUUCAUAUCCCCCGUCAUCAAGUGCAUCCUAUGAGGUGAAUUUAGUCCAUCUCACAUCAAGAAAAGGGAUAAAUUUAAUAGGAAGUCCUUCGCUCCCAGCCUUGCACGAUGUCCUCUUCCUGAGAAGAGAACCGUAGCAAGAUCUUGGAAGAACCUGAAUAACGAUGGCAAAUGAUGGGGUAACUUGAGCUGCAUCUCUCCAUCACCACAAGAGAGAGGAGAUGGGAUGCUGAGGAUCAACCGUCCCUCCCCACUCAUACUGCAAGUCUGCUGUCCUUAGUCACAGGAGCUGGAGGUGAUCAGCUAGUCCAUGGCUGCUGUGGAGAUGGUUCUGGCCUCAAGUGGAUCCUCCAAUAUCUGUGAGUUCUAGAAGGACUAACUCCCUCCCUCCCUGAUCACUGGAUGCAGGGCAUACAGAACAAUCUAGUGACUACCCCGCAAGGCCCUACUGCCUCCUUGGGUCAAACACAGCACCAGGAGUCGGAGAUGGGGGGGCAGACUCAUCUGCUGCAGGUAAGGAAAAGAGAGUCUGAGAUGAGUUGAUGGGAGAGAUUCCAGAUCAAAUGAAUCAGCAGACAGGGUUCCAGAGGGACCAACUGGAAUAUCAAACAGAUAAGGAUUCAAGAAGGGUGGGAAGACAAACAGAGGCUGCACAGCACGAGGCGAGAUUGGUGACAGAUUCAUGGAGCAUAACCACAGGUUAAGGGAGGAAUACCGAGUGCAGCAGAAGGAGCUGUUUGAGUGAUGACUUGCAGUCAUGGCUACCAGACUGCAGAACCCACUGCCACCUUCAGCUCCUGCUCCAGCCUCAUGCCCUGAUUCCCCUCUGUGCUGUUCAUGCCCUCCAGACUAUGCAGCCUUUGGACAGUUCAGGGCUGGAUCAUAUCACAGGCAAUGAACAGUGGCACAUGGAACAGACAAAUGUACUCUGUGCAUUCAUCCACUUCAGUCCAGUCUCAGCCUGCACAUGUAAAAUGCACCAGAAAGGUCAAGGAGAACAGAGGGACAGGGGACCCCCAGUUGUCCAUGUCAUUUCAGACCAUGCACCUUCCCCUGUGUUGGCACUGAGUUUGGUUAUUGUGUUGCAAGUUUUGCUGGGAGCAGCUCUACCUGUCUGGAUCUUACAUUUAUAUGUAAAUGCAGGUGUAAAAUAAAGUGUUG
Mauremys mutica (yellowpond turtle) is the source of this 1811-nucleotide long non-coding RNA. RefSeq lists it as uncharacterized. The transcript is spliced from 4 exons. Lineage: Eukaryota; Metazoa; Chordata; Testudines; Geoemydidae. The record is from RefSeq and is a predicted model, not a curated record.